GUACAAAAAGUCGAAUAAAAGUCAGUGUCGAUAUUUCCUUCAUCAUCAACUAUAUCAUCUUCAUCAUCAUAUUGUGCUCAUGAUAACAUUUCUGCAAUUGUAUUGUCUUUUCUUGAAAUAUGCUUAAAUUCUAGAUUCAUAGAUUUUAUAUAUCCAAUCCAUCUUAAUAUUGCUAUAUCUAGUAUAGAACAACUAGUAAUCAUAUCUAAUAAGGAUAAACAAUCUAUUUCUAUAACUUCCAAUACACCAAUCAAAUAUUCUUUUUCAUUUUUCAUAGCUAUUACUAUACUCCAUAAUUUUCUUUUAAUUUGUGCAUAUGCCCUUUGCUUAGCAUUUAAAAUCCUUGCC
RNAcentral lists this long non-coding RNA (348 nucleotides) under Physcomitrium patens. Its description in RNAcentral is "long non-coding RNA (PPAT_LNC008937)". Lineage: Eukaryota; Viridiplantae; Streptophyta; Bryopsida; Funariales; Funariaceae. The record is from RNAcentral.